Sarcophilus harrisii (Tasmanian devil) is the source of this 1826-nucleotide long non-coding RNA. The record is from Ensembl. NCBI's taxonomy places the organism in Eukaryota, Metazoa, Chordata, Mammalia, Dasyuromorphia, Dasyuridae.
CCUCAGCUCUGGGAGAGCAGAUGUCUCAGGGGGGCUCACCCUCUGCUGGGGAGGCUGACCCCCCGUGGGGAGCUCUGGUCUGAGGAGUCGGAGACUGAGCCAAUCCUCGUGGGAGACAAGACAGGAGGGGUCAUAGGGUCCAGGAGGAUGGACAUUACCCACUCCCAGACCCGUGAGCUCAGGCUCCCAAGAGUCUUCCUUACUCGUGGCUUCUGACCAGGGCUGGUAUAAGGAAACGAGGGGAAGAAUUCCAGGGAACGUGCUCAAUCCUUUCAUCACUUUUUGGCCUUUUGGCGGCGGUCCUGCCUCCCCUCCCCUCUCCCACCCUGUGGCCGCCGUUUGCCCUUCCCCAUGACCCAUUCCGUGUGCCGGGCACUCCGGGCUUCCCGCCCACUGGGAGCUUCCGUCCUCCUGGGGAGAAUACAGAGCAGAACUUUAACUUGUGUGAAACAUUCACACAGACGUUUCCCGGGGGGGUCUGGGAAGAGACUCCCCGCGGGAGGAGGGAGAAUGGAGGACACUCCAGGCCGGGCCCCGGGUCUGUGUUCUUUCCACUUGACAGAAGAGGACAGAGGGACCAUGGAAGAUGCAGGUCUUCAAGUCCCUUCGACUAAGAAUGGGAAAGGCAGGGAGCCAGUCCCCAGGAGGGGGCUGACUUCAAGCCGCUCUAAAUGGCAAACCCCCUUUAGGUCGUGUGCUCGUGGACACUCAGUGAGCCGCAGCCAUCCCUCCCCAUUCUGCUGACAGUGUCCCCACCUCCCAGGUACCGAAGGCUCUUCUGGGGCCUCCCUUCACUGUGGGGGAAAUCAGACGUUUUCUCCACACCACAGAAGGGAAAGAGACACUGGAAGGGUUUGGCCAUUUCCUUCUGCGGCUCAUUUUACAGAUGAGGAAACAGAGGCAGACGGGGUGAAGUGACUGUCCAGCAUCACACAGCUGGGAAGCGAGGUCGGAUUUAAACUGCAGCCUGGCAUUCUCUCCGCUGCCCAGCCCAGCCGCCCCUUAAGUGCUUCCGGUAACCCAGGCACCCUCCACCCUUGGCCUGGGGACACAAAGGCAAAUGGUCCCCGGCCUCCAAGAGCUUACAUCCAAAUGGGAACUGAGCUUGGUGUCUCGGAGCUGAAACAGGACAGUGUGAGGUAGCCGGCUGUCCGGGCAGCUUCGGGGGAGCUGCUGUGAGGAAAUGACCAGCGGCUGCUUUUGGAGAAGCUGGAGAGACUUACAGGAACCGAUGCCCAGGGCAGUGAGCAGAGCCAGGAGAUCAUGGUACACGGCCACAGCAUUAUGACGACCUGCUGCGAGGGACUCAGCCCUUUUCAACAAUGAGCUGGUUCAAGGCGGUUCCAGUCGACUUGGGAUGGAAAGUACCAUCUGCGGGCAGAGAGGCCCACGGGCACCGCAUGUGGACCAGCAGAGAUUUGCACCCUUCGUUGUUCGCUCGGUUCCCCCCUUUCUCAUGGUUUUUUCCUCCUUUUCUUGUGAAAUAUGUUUAGAAGAAAUGCACAUGUUUAACCUACACUGGAAUCCGAUAUCGCUUGCUGGCUGUCUGGGAGGGAGGGAGCAAACAAACAUAAGGCGUCGCAAGGGUGAACACUGGGAAGUCUUAUCGCCAUUCUGGGGAAAAUGCAAAGCUAUUAAAAGGAGCGGCUCAGUCUGAGGCCGUGAGAGGAUCGCCAGUGGGAGAAAGCCGGAGUUUGCUGAAGCAGCUCCGGGAAAGGGAAGUGGACACUGACUAACUGUUGUGUCCUCUCUCUCUCAUGGCUUUUCCCUUUUGCUGUUUUCUCUCAUGAAGGAAUAUGUAUUAAAAAAUUAAUGUACACGUGUAA